RNAcentral lists this small RNA (2111 nucleotides) under Pan troglodytes (chimpanzee). Its description in RNAcentral is "processed transcript". Lineage: Eukaryota; Metazoa; Chordata; Mammalia; Primates; Hominidae. The record is from RNAcentral.
GCAGUCAUUCUUUAGUCACAGGCAGUUUAAGCUGUUAAAUAGUAUCUUGCUUUGAAAGGUAGGCUGAUGGCAUUUCUAUCUUCUGGUACAUCUGGAGAUACAACAGAUGAGCAAAGAAUGACAGAAAGAGGCAAAACUUCGGACAUAGAGGCCAACCAACCUUUGGAGACCAACAAAGAAAAUUCAUCCAGUGUGACUGUAUCAGACCCUGAGAUGGAAAAUAAGGCAGGCCAGACUCUGGAGAACAGCUCAUUAAUGGCCGAGCUCCUGAGCGAUGUACCCUUCACCCUGGCCCCGCAUGUGCUGGCAGUACAGGGCACCAUCACUGACCUUCCCGACCACUUACUCUCCUAUGAUGGCAGCGAAAACUUAUCACGGUUUUGGUAUGAUUUCACUCUUGAAAAUUCAGUGCUCUGUGAUUCAUAAUCUUUAUGUCUGUUUGCACCUUAACAGCUUUAAAAUAUGUUCGCCUAUUUUAUCUAACCUGUUUGAUGUUCUUUGCCGUUUCACUGUUUAAGGUCCUCAGCAAGGAUCAUAAAGCAAAGAAAAUAGCAUUAUGUUCAUUACUCUAUUUUUAAGAAAAAGGUACAUUUGUAUACAAAUUGAACUUAAGUUCUACUUCCUUUCUCCCACAUAAUAAAUAUACAAAUUAGGCUAUGAAGGUUUUAUGAAAGGACUCGAUUCCUUCAGAUGGUCUCUCAAAAUAUAACACCUCAAAUUUAUCUUAGAAGAACUGUGAAAAAGAAUUGUGGCAUUUUUCAGUCACUACAGCUCCGAAGUCUGAGCAAGAAGUGGGUGUGAAGUCUCCUCUCUGGUUUGUAGGAAGUUGAAUUAGUGUUAUUCCUGCAUUUUUUUCUUCCACAGUGUUUAUGAAUGAAUUCAGAAAAAAAGUUGCCAGUUAGCUUAAUUUCUUCAGAUGCAUUGAUGUGGAAAUCUAAAACUUGUCCUAAACAGCAGUGCUAGUUUGCUGAUACGAGGAUGCUAGACCUGCUCUGCGUGCUCUUUCUGGAGUGGCCCAUUUCGGUUUUCUGAAACCCAUGGCAGCCCUUUCCAUCGUGAAUAAUCGUUGUGUUCCCACCUUUGUUCUCUGCCUUUUUGCUACUUCAGUGUGCUCUCUGACCAGCUUUCCAAAGAACUUUCCCUGCUUCUGCCUCGGUUGCCAUUUGCUCUCCUUACCACAUAUGUUCCCAGUUUAUGACGAGAUCCACAUUUCCUUUCAACCCCUCUGCCUCCUGAAGAAAAACAUCUCAUGAUGAUACAUAUUAUUGCUGAUAACACCCUUAUUUAGAAAUUUGUUGGCCACAAUACAGAUGGAAAUGUUUUACUGCUGGAAAAACUAAAAUCAACUCAUUUCUAAUUAGAGUAUAGGCAGAACACCUAGAUAUGACUUUUAGUUCUUGAAUAUCCAUUACUUACUUUAAUGAAAACAGAACUGCCAUUGGUCAAGAAACUGUAAAGGGAAGAGGUAAAUUGUGAUAGAGAAUUUUCUAUGUCAUGGGAAAUUGAAAUCACAUUUAUUUUGAUUACCAGCAAUAUGAUUUAUUAACUCUGUGCCAAGUUUUAAGUAUAUUUUUUCACAAAGAUAGAGUGCCAUAGUGAAACUAAACACUGUGCAUAAAGGUACAUUAAUUAUUCCAGUUUUAAAGUAUUAUGCAUGUUUGUUUAAUAAAUGUGGCAUGGUUUUAAUACAAAUGCUAUGUUAUUUAAAAGUUAGAGGAACAUUUCUAUUGACAAAAAUAUGCUUCAUUUACAUAUAAUGUUACCAUAUGAUGUGAAUGAUUAAAUUAGAUCUUUACAUAGUUCUUAUAAAGCAUCAGUCUAGGAAAUAUGACUUAUUACUGAUGCAAAUGUGAACAUUUUGUAGUAGUUUUGUAAAAGAACAUCCUUUUCAAAUAUCUAUGUUAAUGUCCCCUUGAAAUUAAAUGCAAGCACAUAGUCAGUUUGUCUAAUUUUGUGUGAAAUUUUGUCGAAAAUACCUAAACAUUUCAUCUAUAUUUGUGCCUACCAGGUUAUAAAUGUUCAUAAGUACCUUCAUGUGUCUAUAAAAAAUGUUAUAUUUAAAUAAAUGUGAAUUAAAAUAAAAUUUUUGAUUAUUUUCAGAUCCAGAAAAA